RNAcentral lists this long non-coding RNA (1055 nucleotides) under Phasianus colchicus (ring-necked pheasant). Its description in RNAcentral is "lncRNA (ENSPCLG00000017282.1)". The record is from RNAcentral. Lineage: Eukaryota; Metazoa; Chordata; Aves; Galliformes; Phasianidae.
GUCUCUAUGGGGUCUCUAUGGGGUCAGUGGGUUUCUAUGGGGUCUCUAUGGGGUCGGUGGAGCUCUGUGAGGUCAGUGGGACUCUAUGGCGUCUCUAUGGGGUUUCAAUGGGGUCAGAUGGGCUCUAUGGGAUCUCUAUGGGGUCUCUAUGGGGUCUCUAUGGGGUCAGUGGGGCUCCCUGGGGUCUGCAGGGUCUCUAUGGGGUCUCUAUGGGGUUUCUAUGGGGUCUCUAUGGAGUCAGUGGGACUCUAUGGGGUCUGUAUGGGGUCAGUGGGGCUCUGUGGGAUCUGUAGGGUCUCUAUGGGGUCUCUAUGGGGUCUCUAUGGGGUCAGAAAGGCUCUAUGGGGUNNNNNNNNNNAUGGGGUCUCUGUGGGGUCAGUGGGGCUCUGUGGGAUCUGUAGGGUCUCUAUGGGGUUUCAAUGGGGUCAGAUAGGCUCUAUGGGGUCUCUGUGGGCUCAGUGGGGCUCCCUGGGGUCUGUGGGGCUCUAUGGGGUCUCUAUGGGGUCUCUAUGGGGUCAGUGGGACUCCAUGGGGUCUCUAUGGGGUCAGUGGGACUCCAUGGAGUCUCUAUGGGGUCAUUGGGGCUCUAUGGGGCCUCUAUGGGGUCAAUGGGGCUCUGUGGGGUCAGUGGGACUCCAUGGGGUCUCUAUGGGGUCUCUAUGGGGUCAGUGGGGUUCUGUGGGGUCUCUAUGGGGUCUCUAUGGGGUCAGUGGGGCUCUGUGGGGUCAGUGGGACUCCAUGGGGUCUCUAUGGGGUCUCUAUGGGGUCAGUGGGGCUCCCUGGGGUAUGUAGGGUCUCUAUGGGGUCUCAAUGGGGCCUCUAUGGGGUCAAUGGAACUCUAUGGGGUCAGUGGGACUCCAUGGGGCCUCUAUGGGGUCAGUGGGGCUCUGUGGGGUCUGCAGGGUCUCUAUGGGGUCUCUAUGGGGUCGGUGGGGCUCUGUGGGGUCUGCAGGGUCUCUAUGGCGUCUCUAUGGGGUCAGUGGGGUUCUAUGGGGCCUCUAUGGGGUCGGUGGAGCUCUGUGGGGACGUGGAUGUGUGUCACCCCAAAAAGGGGA